RNAcentral lists this ribosomal RNA (292 nucleotides) under uncultured bacterium. RNAcentral's name for it is "partial 16S ribosomal RNA". It matches the Rfam family "Bacterial small subunit ribosomal RNA", at positions 505 to 796 of the family's 1533-position model. The record is from RNAcentral.
GUGCCAGCCGCCGCGGUAAUACGGAGGGGACUAGCGUUGUUCGGAAUUACUGGGCGUAAAGCGCACGUAGGCGGAUUGUUAAGUCAGGGGUGAAAUCCCGAGGCUCAACCUCGGAACUGCCUUUGAUACUGGCAAUCUCGAGUCCGGAAGAGGUGAGUGGAAUUCCUAGUGUAGAGGUGAAAUUCGUAGAUAUUAGGAAGAACACCAGUGGCGAAGGCGGCUCACUGGUCCGGUACUGACGCUGAGGUGCGAAAGCGUGGGGAGCAAACAGGAUUAGAAACCCGCGUAGUCC